GGGGGGAAAAUUAAUAAUAAAAUUUAAAAAAAAAAUUUUUAAAAAUGUAUUUUAAUGGGGGUUAAAGUAUAUAUAUAGAAAAAAUUUUUUAAUUUAUAGUAAAAUAGUAUUAUAGAAGAAUUUUGAAAUAGGGGAAAGUAAUUUAUGAAAAAGUAAAUUUAGUUUAUUGUAUCUUGUGUAUCAGAGUUUAUUAAUAAUAAUUAUAAAAUAAUAAUUUCUCGAAUUUAAAAGAGUUAAUUAAUUAUAAAAGUUAAUGUAAAAUAAUUAUUUUUAAUAAUUAAUUGGAAAUGAAAUGUUAAUCGUUUUUAAAGAUAUCUAGUUUUUUUAGAAAAAAAUUUAAUUUUAAAUAUUAAAUUUAAAAUUUUUAUUGGGGGAAAAUUUUAUUAAUUAAUAUUAAAUAUUUUAGGGGAUAAGCUUUAAAGUAAAUUUUUAUAAUAAAUUAUUUAGGUAUAUUAAAAUUAUAAAAUUUAAAUUGUUUUAUAAAUUAUAAUUUUUUAUCAAUAAUUUAAUUUAAAUUAAGAUUUUAAAAAAAAAUUUAAAUUUUUAUAAAAAAUUAUAUUUUAAUAAAAUAAAAUUAGAUAUAAUGAUAAAAUUAGUAUAUAAUUUUUUUUUUAUGGGGAAAAUUAUUAAAAGUUAAUAAAAGGAAUUCGGCAAAAUUUUAUAUUCACUUGUUUAUCAAAAACAUGUCUUUUUGAAAAUAAUUUAAAGUCUAAUCUGCCCACUGAUAAAUUAUUAAAGGGCUGCAGUAUUUUGACUGUACAAAGGUAGCAUAAUCAAUAGUCUCUUAAUUGGUGACUUGUAUGAAAGAUUGGAUGAGAUAUAUACUGUCUCUAAUUAAUUUAUAGAAUUUAAUUUUUUAGUAAAAAAGCUAAAAUAAGUUUAAAAGACGAGAAGACCCUAUAGAGUUUAAUAAUUUAUUUAAUUAUUAUUAAUAUAUAAUUUUUAAAAUUAAAAUUAAAUAGAUUAUUUUGUUGGGGUGAUAGAAAAAUUAAAUUAACUUUUUUUUGUUAUUUACAUUAAUUUAUGAUUAAGUGAUCCAUUUAUAAUGAUUAAAAGAAAAAAUUACCUUAGGGAUAACAGCGUAAUUUUUUUUUUUAGUUCAAAUAGGAAAAAAAGUUUGCGACCUCGAUGUUGGAUUAAGAUAAAAUUUAAAUGCAAAAGUUUAAAAUUUUGAUCUGUUCGAUCAUUAAAAUCUUACAUGAUCUGAGUUCAAACCGGUGUAAGCCAGGUUGGUUUCUAUCUUUAAAAAAUUAUAAUAUUUUAGUACGAAAGGAUCAAAUAUUAAAAAUAAUUUUAUUAAAUGAAUAUUAUUAAUAGUUAUU
This 1322-nucleotide ribosomal RNA is filed under the name Papilio memnon. Its description in RNAcentral is "16S ribosomal RNA". Lineage: Eukaryota; Metazoa; Arthropoda; Insecta; Lepidoptera; Papilionidae. The record is from RNAcentral.